CCAGACUCCUACGGGAGGCAGCAGUGAGGAAUAUUGGUCAAUGGCCGAGAGGCUGAACCAGCCAAGUCGCGUGAGGGAUGACGGCCCUACGGGUUGUAAACCUCUUUUGUCGGGGAGCAAAGAGAGUCACGUGUGACUCAUUGAGAGUACCCGAAGAAAAAGUAUCGGCUAACUCCGUGCCAGCAGCCGCGGUAAUACGGAGGAUGCGAGCGUUAUCCGGAUUUAUUGGGUUUAAAGGGUGCGCAGGCGGAAUGUCAAGUCAGCGGUAAAAUUUCGGGGCUCAACCCCGUCGUGCCGUUGAAACUGGCGUUCUUGAGUGAGCGAGGAGUAUGCGGAAUGCGUGGUGUAGCGGUGAAAUGCAUAGAUAUCACGCAGAACUCCGAUUGCGAAGGCAGCAUACCGGCGCCCAACUGACGCUCAUGCACGAAAGCGUGGGUAUCGAACAGGAUUAGAUACCCCAGUA
RNAcentral lists this ribosomal RNA (463 nucleotides) under uncultured bacterium. RNAcentral's name for it is "bacterial SSU rRNA". It matches the Rfam family "Bacterial small subunit ribosomal RNA", at positions 331 to 792 of the family's 1533-position model. The record is from RNAcentral.